UGGAGGUCUUCUAAUGUAAUUGUGUUUUAUUUUGAGAACACUGCCAUUGGAAUGUUUCUACACGAUCCUAUUAAGAAUAAUGUAAUGCCCUUUCAAUGCAACUUUUCAUAUUUAGUUUAUUUUGUUAGCGUGAUUUUAGCUCUGUUUGUAUUAUGAUUUUUAAUCAAAAUCAAUAGAUUAAAAUAGUUUGACAUUCGAAGUGACAAUGUCUAGCAAUCAAAUUUACAUGUAUAGAUCGUCAGGGAAUAGCCCAAAAGUUUUAAAUGCAAAAAAAAGUGAACAUAAAAAACCAGGAAGCAGGAGUUCCCGUCAUGGCGCAGUGGUUAACGAAUCCGACUAGGAACCAUGAGGUUGCAGGUUCGAUCCCUGCCCUUGCUCAGUGGGUUAACGAUCUGACGUUUCGGUGAGCUGCGGUGUAUGUUGCAGACACGGCUCGGAUCCUGAGUUGCUGUGGCUCUGGUGUAGGCCGGUGGCUACAGCUCCGACUGGACCCCUAGCCUGGGAAUCUCCACAUGCCGUGGGAGCGGCCCAAGAAAUAGCAAAAAAAGACAAAAAAAACAACAACAAAAAAACAGGAAGCAGAGGACCCGUGAAUGGAAAGAAAGUGGAGGGAUCCAGACUAGGGCGCCACCGUUUCUGAGAACAGGUGGAGCUGGAGAUCCAGGCUGGGAGAGAGAUGCAAAUCCACGAGCUGCAUGCCUGGCUCGGUACCUUCACAGACGGUGGUGACACGCCAGGCCUUUGAAGUCUAGGCGGCUGUAUCUUCCCUCUAGGCUGACUUGCCAGCAUUCAAAGGUUAUACUCUCUGUGUGGCUCCCACGUAAGCAGGUCUGGUAACCAAGAUCCCAAGAGCAUGGCGUUGGAGUUCCCUGGUGGUGCAGCAGGUUAAGGAUCCAGCACUAUCACUGCAGUAGCUCAGGUCACUGCUGUGGUGCAGGUUUGAUCUCUGGCCUGGGAACUUCCAUGUGCCACGUGUGCAGCCAAAAAAUAAAUAAAUUAAUAAAUAGAACA
This 1011-nucleotide transfer RNA is filed under the name Sus scrofa (pig). RNAcentral describes it as "lncRNA (ENSSSCG00030057117.1)". The record is from RNAcentral. Lineage: Eukaryota; Metazoa; Chordata; Mammalia; Artiodactyla; Suidae.